AUGACGACAAAUCAGUCCACUGCAUCAGCAGAUUCUCCUGGAUCUUCUGUGGCAAGUAUACUAGCGGUGCAGCGAGAGGUUUCUUCACGUGUUAUGACCCGGCUACAGAAAAGUAUACGGAAUCCUAAAAUUAGGAAAUAUGGAACUAUACCAUAUGGAAUGUUGUGUAUUUCAGGAGAACCAACAUCGUUGAAGAGUGCACUUGAUGAUCCUAAAUGGAAAAAGGCAAUGGAUGAGGAGUAUUCUGCGCUCAUGAGGAAUAAGACUUGGCAUCUUGUACCAAAUCAGAGAGGUAAA
Molecule: ribosomal RNA, 297 nt
Filed under: Triticum aestivum (bread wheat)
Lineage: Eukaryota; Viridiplantae; Streptophyta; Magnoliopsida; Poales; Poaceae
Description: partial small subunit ribosomal RNA
Source: RNAcentral